Molecule: small RNA, 160 nt
Filed under: Planktothrix rubescens
Lineage: Bacteria; Bacillati; Cyanobacteriota; Cyanophyceae; Oscillatoriales; Microcoleaceae
Also listed under: 1 other name
Description: HEARO
Rfam family: HNH endonuclease-associated RNA and ORF (HEARO) RNA
Source: RNAcentral
GUCAGCACCCCGCACUCUCUGUGACGGGGCUAUGCGCGGAGCGCAGGCUACGCGCCCGGUGCCUCUAACUUCAGUUAGUUGACCAGCCUAAGUCUUAACUGACUACGUUUUUGUGAGUCAAGACACCCUGUUGGAUGCGUAGCUAGUCCCUGGCUCUGUC